CUUUACUAUUGACUCUUCUGUCAUCUAGCCAUCAUGAGGUUUCUGGUUGUGUUUUCUCUACUCGCCCUGACUUGUGCUCAGUUACUACAUCCCUUCUGGAAUGGCGCCAACAGUGAUCGUCAUAAUGGUUAUCAAUUUGAGUAUCACAGCCGAAGCCAUUUGUUGGUAGUUCGGGAUACGAGAAACUGUUAUUUGAUCAAUGCUGACAAGAGCCUUGUUGAUACUUUCGUGGAUAAGUCUACAAGAGACUCAGUCGAGGAUGAUAUUAUCGCGCAUAUUAAGAAUAACGAGGGUACUCAUGCAGAAAGUCAUUUGGGUUCUCUAACUCAUUUUCACGAUAUUUUGACUACUGCUGAAUGUCUCCGACGAAGAAUAUACAGCUUGGAAUACAAAAUCAGCACAGCUACAACCCAACAACCAUAAAUAUGUAAAUUUGCGUAAAUAAAAGGAAAAUAAAAAAUGCAUAACAAUAAA
This is a long non-coding RNA of Patella vulgata (common limpet), 474 nucleotides long. RefSeq lists it as uncharacterized. The transcript has 4 exons. NCBI's taxonomy places the organism in Eukaryota, Metazoa, Mollusca, Gastropoda, Patellidae. The record is from RefSeq and is a predicted model, not a curated record.